Molecule: ribosomal RNA, 460 nt
Filed under: uncultured bacterium
Lineage: Bacteria
Description: bacterial SSU rRNA
Rfam family: Bacterial small subunit ribosomal RNA
Source: RNAcentral
CCUANGGGAGGCAGCAGUGAGGAAUAUUGGUCAAUGGGCGCGAGCCUGAACCAGCCAUCCCGCGUGCAGGAAGACGGCCCUAUGGGUUGUAAACUGCUUUUGUGCAGGAAGAACGACCGGAUCGAGAUCCGGGUUGACGGUACUGCAUGAAUAAGCACCGGCUAACUCCGUGCCAGCAGCCGCGGUAAUACGGAGGGUGCAAGCGUUAUCCGGAUUUAUUGGGUUUAAAGGGUGCGUAGGCGGUGAAAUAAGUCAGUGGUGAAAAGCUGCAGCUCAACUGUAGUCCUGCCAUUGAAACUGUUUUACUUGAGUAACCAUGAGGUAGGCGGAAUGUGUAGUGUAGCGGUGAAAUGCUUAGAUAUUACACAGAACACCGAUUGCGUAGGCAGCUUACUAGAGGUUCACUGACGCUGAUGCACGAAAGCGUGGGGAUCAAACAGGAUUAGAUACCCCUNUANUC